UUCCUCUUAGAAAAGGAGGUAAGGCCUGCUCACUGAAUAUAUUUAAAGAGCCGCAGUAUCCUAACUGUGCUAAGGUAGCAUAAUCAUUAGUCUUUUAAUUGGAGACUGGUAUGAAUGGCUAAACGAGAAAUCGACUUUUUUUGUUAUAAAAAUUGAAUUUAAUUUUUUAGUGAAAAAGCUGAAAUUUUUCAGAAAGACGAGAAGACCCUAUAGAGUUUUAUAUCUCAAAAUACUUUAUUUAAAUAGAUUUUUUCAAAUAAAAUAUAAACAGGUAUUUUGUUGGGGCGACAUUAAGAUAAGAAAAACUCUUUAUUUUAUAAAUUUUUAUAAAAAUAUAUUUGAUCCUCUAAAAGAGAUCAAAAGAAAAAAUUACCUUAGGGAUAACAGCGUAAUCUUUUUUGAGAGUUCUAAUCGACAAAAAGGUUUGCGACCUCGAUGUUGGACUAAAAUUUAGGCAGGGUGCAGCAGUUCUGCUUUAAGGUCUGUUCGACCUAUAAUAUUUUACACGAUCUGAGUUCAGACCG
This 524-nucleotide ribosomal RNA is filed under the name Megabalanus spinosus. RNAcentral describes it as "partial 16S ribosomal RNA". It matches the Rfam family "Bacterial large subunit ribosomal RNA", at positions 1834 to 2618 of the family's 2925-position model. The record is from RNAcentral. Lineage: Eukaryota; Metazoa; Arthropoda; Thecostraca; Balanomorpha; Balanidae.